AUACGGAGGAUCCGAGCGUUAUCCGGAUUUAUUGGGUUUAAAGGGAGCGUAGGCGGACGCUUAAGUCAGUUGUGAAAGUUUGCGGCUCAACCGUAAAAUUGCAGUUGAUACUGGGUGUCUUGAGUACAGUAGAGGCAGGCGGAAUUCGUGGGGUAGCGGUGAAAUGCUUAGAUAUCACGAAGAACUCCGAUUGCGAAGGCAGCCUGCUGGACUGUAACUGACGCUGAUGCUCGAAAGUGUGGGUAUCAAACAGGAUUAGAUACCCUGGUAGUCCACACAGUAAACGAUGAAUACUCGCUGUUUGCGAUAUACAGUAAGCGGCCAAGCGAAAGCGUUAAGUAUUCCACCUGGGGAGUACGCCGGCAACGGUGAAACUCAAAUGAAUUGACGGGG
Molecule: ribosomal RNA, 393 nt
Filed under: uncultured bacterium
Lineage: Bacteria
Description: partial 16S ribosomal RNA
Rfam family: Bacterial small subunit ribosomal RNA
Source: RNAcentral